Molecule: ribosomal RNA, 304 nt
Filed under: uncultured bacterium
Lineage: Bacteria
Description: partial 16S ribosomal RNA
Rfam family: Bacterial small subunit ribosomal RNA
Source: RNAcentral
CAGCAGCAGCCGCGGUAAUACAGAGGGUGCGAGCGUUAAUCGGAUUUACUGGGCGUAAAGCGUGCGUAGGCGGCUAAUUGAGUCGGAUGUGAAAUCCCCGAGCUUAACUUGGGAAUUGCAUUCGAUACUGGUUAGCUAGAGUGUGGGAGAGGAUGGUAGAAUUCCAGGUGUAGCGGUGAAAUGCGUAGAGAUCUGGAGGAAUACCGAUGGCGAAGGCAGCCAUCUGGCCUAACACUGACGCUGAGGUACGAAAGCAUGGGGAGCAAACAGGAUUAGAUACCCCUGUAGUCCCUGUCUCUUAUAC